UGAUUUGUUCGUUCUUGCCAGAAUCAGCGUCCUCUGGAGCUCGAGAGAUCGAUGUUAUUCUGCCCUUAGACAGUCUCGCGCUGUCAAAUAGUCUUUCAAUUUUCACAAUCAAACAGCUCACAAAUACCUGAAUUUAGCUCUUGUUGUGUUCUAAUGGGUGGAUUGUGUGCAUUCGCGGUAAUAUUUUGUUUUAAAAAGCUCUUAAAACUAUAAAAAUGCUUUUAUUGUGAGCUCCUCGUGAGACUGCACGCGCUGAUGCAGCGGUGAUUUCUCUCUGGUCUUUCUCACUGUUCUGGCCAGACAUCAAUUAUUAAUGAGAUCUGAGCCGGUAAUAAUAACAUAUGUUGGUUCAGCUUGUCAGUGUGAAUUAAAUGUGUAUUUAUUUGUCCGUUCUCGCCGAAAAACCAUCACCGUGUUCUGGAGCGCAGAGCAAUCGAUGUGAUGUUCAGCCCUUAGACUAAGAAAAUCUCACAAGCACUCAUAAACAACCAUUUUCAUCUCUAUAAUAUGUUCUUCUAAUUGUUUUUUGUUGAUUCGCCGCUGUGUUUUAAUGUAAAAGGCUGUAGUUUCUGUAUGUACACUUUUUUUCCCUUGAAGUGUUCAGACGUCUCGCGCUGUCAGACAGGCUGCAGCAAAUAUUUCAUUUUAACAUGUUAACAGCUCACAAACAUCUGAAUUUAGCUCUUGAUGUGUUCUAAUUGGCGGAUUGUGUGCAAUCGCCGUAAUAUUUUAUUUUUAAAAGGUCUUAAACAAGAAUAAACUCGUUUGUUGUGAGCUCGUUGAGACUGCACGCGCUGUUCGGAGCGGUGACAUAUCUCUCGUCUAUCUCUCUGUUCUCUGUCGCCAGACAUCAAUUAUUAAUAAGCCCUGACCCGCUAAUAAUAAGAUAUGUUGGUUUAGCUUGUCAGUGUGAAUUAAAUUGAUUUAUUUAGUUGUAUUUUUAACCGAUUUAAAAGUGAAACUAAGCGAGACUCCUCCCUCUCAGUCCCGGGAAUUGCUCCUGUAGAGGCGCAUUUUCUCUCAGACAAUGAAAGUCUCAGCACACAUACAUUCCUCACACAGAGCCAAAAAUCCAUAUUCAAAUCAAAAUAGCCGACUUCCUGUUGGUCGUAGCUAAUGACUGUAAAUUAGAAAGUUGUCCGUCUUAAUAAGAACAAUAUAUGUACCGAGUUUGGUGUCUGUAGCUAAAACUAAGCCCCCCACUUUUGACAAAAGGUGGCGCUAUAGAGUGCCUCCUCCACGCCCUUUUAUGACCUUUUGCCAGUGUCUA
Long non-coding RNA from Cyprinus carpio carpio, 1270 nucleotides. The record is from Ensembl. NCBI's taxonomy places the organism in Eukaryota, Metazoa, Chordata, Actinopteri, Cypriniformes, Cyprinidae.